UCUUUUCUUUUGAUAGGAGAGGUUUUAAAACCAGUGUUAUUUUUGUAAGUUUAAGAGAAGUUUGUGUAUUGAAUUUUUUAUUUUUAAUAUUAAAGAGCUUUGUUAAACUUAGACUUAAGUUUAGGUCAUUUUGGGGGUUUAGCUCAGUUGGCUAGAGCAUCGGCUUUGCAAGCCGAGGGUCAAGGGUUCGAGUCCCUUAACCUCCAUUGGGCUUAUGUCCUAAAUCGUAAUUAAGUAUGUUUUUAAGUAACUUUGUUAAAGUAAUUGUUGGAAUGUGAAACAGAGGAAGUUAAAAUUUCUGGGUUAAGUUGAGAUCUGUUGAUAUUAAGAAGAAUCUCUAGAGGCAAAAGCAAGCUUUCGAUAAAACCCGAAGUUGUUUCGCUAAAGUGCAAGGAUUAAACAGGAUUGUAUUUUCCAGUAGCCUAUUUUAUAAACGAUCUGCAUUUAGUAAAUAGUUUUUAGUUAAGAAAUAAUGUAGAUUGCUAAGUGUGAUGCC
RNAcentral lists this unclassified non-coding RNA (496 nucleotides) under Borreliella burgdorferi (Lyme disease spirochete). RNAcentral describes it as "partial 16S-23S ribosomal RNA intergenic spacer". The stretch from base 133 to 206 matches the Rfam family "tRNA". Lineage: Bacteria; Pseudomonadati; Spirochaetota; Spirochaetia; Spirochaetales; Borreliaceae. The record is from RNAcentral.